Molecule: ribosomal RNA, 478 nt
Filed under: uncultured bacterium
Lineage: Bacteria
Description: partial 16S ribosomal RNA
Rfam family: Bacterial small subunit ribosomal RNA
Source: RNAcentral
GAUGAACGCUAGCGGCAGGCCUAACACAUGCAAGUCGAGGGAGAAGCCCUUUCGGGGGCAGACACCGGCGCACGGGUGCGUAACGCGUAUGCAACCUACCUUUCACAGGGGGAUAGCCCGAAGAAAUUUGGAUUAAUACCCCAUAAUAUUAUUGGAUGGCAUCAUUUGAUAAUUAAAACUGCGGUGGUGAAAGAUGGGCAUGCGUCCUAUUAGCUAGUUGGAGUGGUAACGGCACCCCAAGGCUACGAUAGGUAGGGGUCCUGAGAGGGAGAUCCCCCACACUGGUACUGAGACAGGGACCAGACUCCUACGGGAGGCAGCAGUGAGGAAUAUUGGUCAAUGGUCGGAAGACUGAACCAGCCAUGCCGCGUGCAGGAAGAAUGCCUUAUGGGUUGUAAACUGCUUUUAUAUGGGAAGAAUAAGGUGUACGUGUACAUUGAUGACGGUACCAUAUGAAUAAGCAUCGGCUAACUCCGUG